This 81-nucleotide non-coding RNA is filed under the name uncultured Clostridium sp. RNAcentral describes it as "Cyclic di-GMP-I riboswitch". It matches the Rfam family "c-di-GMP-I riboswitch aptamer". Rfam says of the family: GEMM was predicted in a large-scale screen for bacterial structured RNA regulatory elements. Genes associated with GEMM are involved in a diverse array of functions, including chemotaxis regulation, signal transduction, secretion and chitin. The record is from RNAcentral. Lineage: Bacteria; Bacillati; Bacillota; Clostridia; Eubacteriales; Clostridiaceae.
AUAAAUAGCAAACUCUAUGAAAAUGGAGGACGCAAAGCUGCGAGUCUAAAGCUGUUUAAGCCAUGAUAGUCGGGUUGCUGA